GCGUUGGUGGUUCAGUGGCAGAAUUCUCGCCUGCCAUGCGGGAGACCGGGGUUCGAUUCCCCGCCAACGCA
RNAcentral lists this transfer RNA (71 nucleotides) under Paramuricea clavata. It matches the Rfam family "tRNA". From Rfam's summary of the family: Transfer RNA (tRNA) molecules are approximately 80 nucleotides in length. Their secondary structure includes four short double-helical elements and three loops (D, anti-codon, and T loops). Lineage: Eukaryota; Metazoa; Cnidaria; Anthozoa; Malacalcyonacea; Plexauridae. The record is from Rfam by way of RNAcentral.